GCCUGGGUAGCUCAGUGGUAGAGCAGCCGCCUUGUAAGCGGCAGGUCGGGGGUUCGAAUCCCUUCCCAGGCU
RNAcentral lists this transfer RNA (72 nucleotides) under Rubrobacteraceae bacterium. Its description in RNAcentral is "tRNA-Thr". It matches the Rfam family "tRNA". Rfam says of the family: Transfer RNA (tRNA) molecules are approximately 80 nucleotides in length. Their secondary structure includes four short double-helical elements and three loops (D, anti-codon, and T loops). The record is from RNAcentral. Lineage: Bacteria; Bacillati; Actinomycetota; Rubrobacteria; Rubrobacterales; Rubrobacteraceae. RNAcentral also lists the same sequence under 2 other names.